GACGAACGCUGGCGGCGUGCUUAACACAUGCAAGUCGAACGAAGAGCGAUGGAAGCUUGCUUCUAUCAAUCUUAGUGGCGAACGGGUGAGUAACGCGUAAUCAACCUGCCCUUCAGAGGGGGACAACAGUUGGAAACGACUGCUAAUACCGCAUACGAUCUAAUCUCGGCAUCGAGGAUAGAUGAAAGGUGGCCUCUACAUGUAAGCUAUCACUGAAGGAGGGGAUUGCGUCUGAUUAGCUAGUUGGAGGGGUAACGGCCCACCAAGGCGAUGAUCAGUAGCCGGUCUGAGAGGAUGAACGGCCACAUUGGGACUGUGACACGGCCCAGACUCCUACGGGAGGCAGCAGUGGGGAAUCUUCCGCAAUGGACGAAAGUCUGACGGAGCAACGCCGCGUGAGUGAUGACGGCCUUCGGGUUGUAAAGCUCUGUUAAUCGGGACGAAAGGCCUUCUUGCGAACAGUUAGAAGGAUUGACGGUACCGGAAUAGAAAGCCACGGCUAACUACGUG
Molecule: ribosomal RNA, 510 nt
Filed under: uncultured bacterium
Lineage: Bacteria
Description: partial 16S ribosomal RNA
Rfam family: Bacterial small subunit ribosomal RNA
Source: RNAcentral